AACGAACGCUGGCGGCAUGCCUAACACAUGCAAGUCGAACGAGACCUUCGGGUCUAGUUGCGCACGGGUGCGUAACGCGUGGGAACCUGCCCUUAGGUUCGGAAUAACUCCCCGAAAGGGGUGCUAAUACCGGAUAAUGUCUUCGGACCAAAGAUUUAUCGCCUUUGGAUGGGCCCGCGUUGGAUUAGCUAGUUGGUAGGGUAAAAGCCUACCAAGGCGACGAUCCAUAGCUGGUCUGAGAGGAUGAUCAGCCACACUGGGACUGAGACACGGCCCAGACUCCUACGGGAGGCAGCAGUGGGGAAUAUUGGACAAUGGGCGAAAGCCUGAUACAGCAAUGCCGCGUGAGUGAUGAAGGCCUUAGGGUUGUAAAGCUCUUUUACCCGGGAUGAUAAUGACAGUACCGGGAGAAUAAGCUCCGGCUAACUCCGUG
Molecule: ribosomal RNA, 433 nt
Filed under: uncultured bacterium
Lineage: Bacteria
Description: partial 16S ribosomal RNA
Rfam family: Bacterial small subunit ribosomal RNA
Source: RNAcentral